GACGAACGCUGGCGGCGCGCUUAACACAUGCAAGUCGAACGGAAAGGCCUGCUUUCCCUUGUGGAUUGCGGGUACUCGAGUGGCGAACGGGUGAGUAACACGUGAGUGAUCUGCCCCCAACUUGGGCAUAAGCCUGGGAAACUGGGUCUAAUUCCCGAUAGGACUGCAGGGUGGUGCCUGUGGUGGAAAACGAUUUUCUAGUGGUUGGGGAUGAGCUCGCGGCCUAUCAGCUUGUUGGUGGGGUAAUGGCCUACCAAGGCGGCGACGGGUAGCCGGCCUGGGAGGGUGGACGGCCACAUUGGGACUGAGAUACGGCCCAGACUCCUACGGGAGGCAGCAGUGGGGAAUAUUGCACAAUGGGCGGAAGCCUGAUGCAGCGACGCCGCGUGGGGGAUGACGGCCUUCGGGUUGUAAACUCCUUUCGACCGCGAGGAAGCCACCUGGUUGGAAGGGUGGUGACGGUAGUGGUAGAAGAAGCACCGGCUAACUACGUG
Molecule: ribosomal RNA, 494 nt
Filed under: uncultured bacterium
Lineage: Bacteria
Description: partial 16S ribosomal RNA
Rfam family: Bacterial small subunit ribosomal RNA
Source: RNAcentral